GAAGCGUUACUUCGGUAGAACGUUUGAUUGGUAAUCAAAAGGACGUGGGUUCAAUUCCCACCCAGAGGCUUCG
This 73-nucleotide transfer RNA is filed under the name marine bacterium AO1-C. RNAcentral's name for it is "tRNA-Thr". The stretch from base 9 to 69 matches the Rfam family "tRNA". Rfam says of the family: Transfer RNA (tRNA) molecules are approximately 80 nucleotides in length. Their secondary structure includes four short double-helical elements and three loops (D, anti-codon, and T loops). The record is from RNAcentral. Lineage: Bacteria; Pseudomonadati; Bacteroidota; Cytophagia; Cytophagales; Cytophagaceae.